This 449-nucleotide ribosomal RNA is filed under the name uncultured organism. RNAcentral's name for it is "partial 16S ribosomal RNA". It matches the Rfam family "Bacterial small subunit ribosomal RNA", at positions 332 to 797 of the family's 1533-position model. The record is from RNAcentral.
UACACUCCUACGGGAGGCAGCAGUGGGGAAUAUGGGACAAUGGGCGCAAGCCUGAUCCAGCCAUGCCGCGUGAGUGAUGAAGGCCCUAGGGUUGUAAAGCUCUUUCACCGGUGAAGAUAAUGACGGUAACCGGAGAAGAAGCCCCGGCUAACUUCGUGCCAGCAGCCGCGGUAAUACGAAGGGGGCUAGCGUUGUUCGGAUUUACUGGGCGUAAAGCGCACGUAGGCGGACUAUUAAGUCAGGGGUGAAAUCCCGGGGCUCAACCCCGGAACUGCCUUUGAUACUGGUAGUCGUGAGUUCGAGAGAGGUGAGUGGAAUUCCGAGUGUAGAGGUGAAAUUCGUAGAUAUUCGGAGGAACACCAGUGGCGAAGGCGGCUCACUGGCUCGAUACUGACGCUGAGGUGCGAAAGCGUGGGGAGCAAACAGGAUUAGAAACCCUGGUAGUCCCA